Podarcis lilfordi (Lilford's wall lizard) is the source of this 69-nucleotide non-coding RNA. The record is from the annotation of a GenBank genome assembly. Lineage: Eukaryota; Metazoa; Chordata; Lepidosauria; Squamata; Lacertidae.
GCUGUAGCUCUGUGGUAGAGCAUUUGUCUUACAUGCAGGGGGUCCCUGGUUUGAUCACCAGCAUCUCCA